ACGGAGGGUGCGAGCGUUGUUCGGAAUUACUGGGCGUAAAGGGCGUGUAGGCGGUUUCCUAAGUUCGGUGUGAAAGCCCGGGGCUCACCCCCGGAAGUGCAUCGGAUACUGGGCAACUCGAGUACCGGAGAGGAGGGUGGAAUUCCUGGUGUAGCGGUGAAAUGCGUAGAUAUCAGGAGGAACACCGGCGGCGAAGGCGGCCCUCUGGACGGAUACUGACGCUGAGACGCGAAAGCGUGGGGAGCAAACAGG
RNAcentral lists this ribosomal RNA (252 nucleotides) under uncultured bacterium. RNAcentral's name for it is "partial 16S ribosomal RNA". It matches the Rfam family "Bacterial small subunit ribosomal RNA", at positions 525 to 776 of the family's 1533-position model. The record is from RNAcentral.